This 497-nucleotide ribosomal RNA is filed under the name uncultured bacterium. RNAcentral describes it as "partial 16S ribosomal RNA". It matches the Rfam family "Bacterial small subunit ribosomal RNA", at positions 28 to 507 of the family's 1533-position model. The record is from RNAcentral.
GAUGAACGCUGGCGGCGCGCCUAAUACAUGCAAGUCGAGCGAACAGAUAAGGAGCUUGCUCCUUUGACGUUAGCGGCGGACGGGUGAGUAACAUGUGGAUAACCUACCUAUAAGACUGGGAUAACUUCGGGAAACCGGAGCUAAUACCGGAUAACAUAUUGAACCGCAUGGUUCAAUAGUGAAAGGCGGCUUUGCUGUCACUUAUAGAUGGAUCCGCGCCGUAUUAGCUAGUUGGUAAGGUAACGGCUUACCAAGGCAACGAUACGUAGCCGACCUGAGAGGGUGAUCAGCCACACUGGAACUGAGACACGGUCCAGUCUCCUACGGGAGGCAACAGUAGGAGAUCUACCGCAAUGGGCGAAAGCCUGACAGAACAACGCCGCGUGAGUGAUGAGGGUCUUCGGAUCGUAAAACUCUUUUAUCAGGGAAGAACAAAUGUAUAAGUAACUAUGCACAUCUUGAGGGUACCUGAUCAGAAAGCCAAGACUAACUACGUG